AAACAAAGAUGUCUUCUCCUAAAUGCUUGUUAGAGUUAUUCCUGCUCGGAGUAGUAGUGAUUCUCUCUGCUACCCCCACAUCACUGGCUAAUCGCCUAGAACCUCCUAAAGGUAAAGGCGAGAAACCACCCCUAAACCAUAAGCCCCCACGUGUUCACCUUUUAAGUGAGAAUGUAGGGGACUUUCAUGGACCUCCAAAGGAUAAGGGUGAGAAAACACCACCUAAACACCAACCCCCACAUGGACACCUUCUAGUUGAGGAUGAAGAGGAUUCUUUUAAACCUCCUAAGAGUAAGGGAGAGAAGUUUCCAUCACAAAAUCCUCUGCCAGGAUAUAGACGCCUUUUGGCAGAGGAUGUCGUGGAGGACUCGCAAAAGGGUAAGGGAUAUAAGCCACCACACGGACAUCUUUUAGCCGA
This 418-nucleotide unclassified non-coding RNA is filed under the name Hevea brasiliensis (rubber tree). Lineage: Eukaryota; Viridiplantae; Streptophyta; Magnoliopsida; Malpighiales; Euphorbiaceae. The record is from RNAcentral.